Molecule: ribosomal RNA, 447 nt
Filed under: uncultured bacterium
Lineage: Bacteria
Description: bacterial SSU rRNA
Rfam family: Bacterial small subunit ribosomal RNA
Source: RNAcentral
GUCCAGACUCCUACGGGAGGCAGCAGUGGGGAAUAUUGCACAAUGGGGGAAACCCUGAUGCAGCGACGCCGCGUGAGUGAAGAAGUAUUUCGGUAUGUAAAGCUCUAUCAGCAGGGAAGAAAAAAGACGGUACCUGACUAAGAAGCCCCGGCUAACUACGUGCCAGCAGCCGCGGUAAUACGUAGGGGGCAAGCGUUAUCCGGAAUUACUGGGUGUAAAGGGUGCGUAGGUGGCAUGGUAAGUCAGAAGUGAAAGCCCGGGGCUUAACCCCGGGACUGCUUUUGAAACUGUCAUGCUGGAGUGCAGGAGAGGUAAGCGGAAUUCCUAGUGUAGCGGUGAAAUGCGUAGAUAUUAGGAGGAACACCAGUGGCGAAGGCGGCUUACUGGACUGUCACUGACACUGAUGCACGAAAGCGUGGGGAGCAAACAGGAUUAGAUACCCGAGUA